RNAcentral lists this ribosomal RNA (253 nucleotides) under uncultured bacterium. RNAcentral describes it as "partial 16S ribosomal RNA". It matches the Rfam family "Bacterial small subunit ribosomal RNA", at positions 524 to 776 of the family's 1533-position model. The record is from RNAcentral.
UACAGAGGUCUCAAGCGUUGUUCGGAUUCAUUGGGCGUAAAGGGUGCGUAGGUGGCGCCGUAAGUCGGGUGUGAAAUCCUGAGGCUUAACCUCAGAACUGCAUUCGAUACUGCGGUGCUUGAGGACUGGAGAGGAGACUGGAAUUCAUGGUGUAGCAGUGAAAUGCGUAGAGAUCAUGAGGAAGACCAGUGGCGAAGGCGGGUCUCUGGACAGUUCCUGACACUGAGGCACGAAGGCCAGGGGAGCAAACAGG